Molecule: ribosomal RNA, 546 nt
Filed under: uncultured Chlorophyta
Lineage: Eukaryota; Viridiplantae; Chlorophyta
Description: SSU rRNA
Rfam family: Eukaryotic small subunit ribosomal RNA
Source: RNAcentral
GCGUAUAUUUAAGUUAUUGCAGUUAAAAAGCUCGUAGUUGGAUUUCGGUUAAGAGCGACCGGUCCGCCGUUUGGUGUGCACUGGUUGGUUUUAACUUCCUGUAGAGGACGUGCUCUGGGCUUAACGGUCUGGACUCGGAGUCUACGUGGUUACUUUGAAAAAAUUAGAGUGUUCAAAGCGGGCUUACGCUUGAAUAUUUCAGCAUGGAAUAACACUAUAGGACUCCUGUCCUAUUUCGUUGGUCUCGGGACGGGAGUAAUGAUUAAGAGGAACAGUUGGGGGCAUUCGUAUUUCAUUGUCAGAGGUGAAAUUCUUGGUUUUAUGAAAGACGAACUUCUGCGAAAGCAUUUGCCAAGGAUGUUUUCAUUAAUCAAGAACGAAAGUUGGGGGCUCGAAGAUGAUUAGAUACCAUCCUAGUCUCAACCAUAAACGAUGCCGACUAGGGAUUGGCGGAUGUUAAUUGAUGACUCCGCCAGCACCUUAUGAGAAAUCAAAGUUUUUGGGUUCCGGGGGGAGUAUGGUCGCAAGGCUGAAACUUAAAGGAAU